AGAGUUUGAUCCUGGCUCAGAUUGAACGCUGGCGGAAUGCUUUACACAUGCAAGUCGAACGGCAGCACGGGAGCUUGCUCCUGGUGGCGAGUGGCGAACGGGUGAGUAAUGCGUCGGAACGUACCGAGUAAUGGGGGAUAACGCAGCGAAAGUUGUGCUAAUACCGCAUACGCCCUGAGGGGGAAAGUGGGGGAUCGUAAGACCUCACGUUAUUCGAGCGGCCGACGUCUGAUUAGCUAGUUGGUGGGGUAAUGGCUCACCAAGGCGACGAUCAGUAGCGGGUCUGAGAGGAUGAUCCGCCACACUGGGACUGAGACACGGCCCAGACUCCUACGGGAGGCAGCAGUGGGGAAUUUUGGACAAUGGGGGCAACCCUGAUCCAGCCAUUCCGCGUGAGUGAAGAAGGCCUUCGGGUUGUAAAGCUCUUUCAGCUGGAACGAAACGGUAGAGGCUAAUACCCUCUGCUAAUGACGGUACCGGCAGAAGAAGCACCGGCUAACUACGUGCCAGCAGCCGCGGUAAUACGUAGGGUGCGAGCGUUAAUCGGAAUUACUGGGCGUAAAGCGUGCGCAGGCGGAUUGUUAAGCAAGACGUGAAAUCCCCGGGCUUAACCCUGGGAAUGGCGUUUUGAACUGGCAGUCUAGAGUGUGUCAGAGGGGGGGUGGAAUUCCACGUGUAGCAGUGAAAUGCGUAGAGAUGUGGAGGAACACCAAUGGCGAAGGCAGCCCCCCUGGGAUAACACUGACGCUCAUGUACGAAAGCGUGGGUAGCAAACAGGAUUAGAUACCCUGGUAGUCCAC
RNAcentral lists this ribosomal RNA (800 nucleotides) under uncultured bacterium. RNAcentral describes it as "bacterial SSU rRNA". It matches the Rfam family "Bacterial small subunit ribosomal RNA", at positions 8 to 798 of the family's 1533-position model. The record is from RNAcentral.